CUGAAUCUAUCACGCAGCCUAUGCAAUUACUGGAUCUGAUAAAUAUAUCCAGAGCACUCCCAGUGAUUACGAUGCCAUCAGGAAAAUCUACCGCUCUGAUAAAUUCUCAUCUGCUUGUUUGAAAUUUUCUAAUAAGCAUGACAACGAAACAUUCAAAGAGUUGAUAGCUGAUUACAUUAAACACCAUAAAAAUCGUCCCUGCCCCUUCCAGUCUGGGAACCUGGAAAUCCAUCACUGUCACCUCAGUGAGUUUCUGUAAAAAUGAACACCCUCCAAGCCGAUCGAACAGCAUUCGGGAAAACAUCUUUCUGAGGGGGCAAGAAAAUGACAUGAGUAUUGAAGAGUAAUCAGAUACUCUUCCCCCAAUAUAAAUAAAUUUAUCCCUGAACCUAUAGUUAUGUUAACCAAUGAAUAGGUAGUCUCACAUCUAAUGUUACAAUUAAAGUAAUGUUACCAAGUGAAUGAUAAAAAAUCAAAUACAUGAGGACUGCACCUUCUGAUUUGCUUAAUUUUCACUAAUAAACAAGUGAAUGAAAUCAAGCAUGCAAUCUGCUUAAUCUUUUAAUAGAACACAAAGAACAGAAACAUCCAAACAGAAAUGAUUUACUGAGGCAGGA
This is a long non-coding RNA of Carassius gibelio (silver crucian carp), 617 nucleotides long. RefSeq lists it as uncharacterized. Lineage: Eukaryota; Metazoa; Chordata; Actinopteri; Cypriniformes; Cyprinidae. The record is from RefSeq and is a predicted model, not a curated record. The transcript is spliced from 3 exons.